Molecule: ribosomal RNA, 468 nt
Filed under: uncultured bacterium
Lineage: Bacteria
Description: partial 16S ribosomal RNA
Rfam family: Bacterial small subunit ribosomal RNA
Source: RNAcentral
GACGAACGCUGGCGGCGUGCUUAACACAUGCAAGUCGAACGGAAAGGCCCUGCUUUUGUGGGGUGCUCGAGUGGCGAACGGGUGAGUAAAACGUGAGUAAACUGCCCUUGACUUUGGGAUAACUUCAGGAAACUGGGGCUAAUACCGGAUAGGAGCUCCUGCUGCAUGGUGGGGGUUGGAAAGUUUCGGCGGUUGGGGAUGGACUCGCGGCUUAUCAGCUUGUUGGUGGGGUAGUGGCUUACCAAGGCUUUGACGGGUAGCCGGCCUGAGAGGGUGACCGGCCACAUUGGGACUGAGGUACGGCCCAGACUCCUACGGGAGGCAGCAGUGGGGAAUAUUGCACAAUGGGCGGAAGCCUGAUGCAGCAACGCCGCGUGCGGGAUGACGGCCUUCGGGUUGUAAACCGCUUUCGCCUGUGACGAAGCGUGAGUGACGGUAAUGGGUAAAGAAGCACCGGCUAACUACGUG